GUACGGGAGGCAGCAGUGGGGAAUAUUGGUCAAUGGGCGAAAGCCUGAACCAGCAAUGCCGCGUGAGUGAUGAAGGCCUUCGGGUUGUAAAGCUCUGUCAGUGGGAACGAAUAAGCCGAUUAAUACUCGGUGGUGACGGUACCCACAAAGGAAGCACCGGCUAACUCUGUGCCAGCAGCCGCGGUAAUACAGAGGGUGCAAGCGUUGUUCGGAAUUACUGGGCGUAAAGCGCGUGUAGGCGGUCUAGCAAGUCGGGUGUGAAAUCCCUUGGCUUAACCAAGGAACUGCAUUCGAAACUACUAAACUUGAGUAUCGGAGGGGGUGGCGGAAUUCCCGGUGUAGAGGUGAAAUUCGUAGAUAUCGGGAGGAACACCUGUGGCGAAGGCGGCCACCUGGAAGAUUACUGACGCUGAGACGCGAAAGCGUGGGGAGCAAACAGGAUUAGAUACCCCGGUAGU
RNAcentral lists this ribosomal RNA (458 nucleotides) under uncultured bacterium. Its description in RNAcentral is "bacterial SSU rRNA". It matches the Rfam family "Bacterial small subunit ribosomal RNA", at positions 339 to 794 of the family's 1533-position model. The record is from RNAcentral.